RNAcentral lists this ribosomal RNA (423 nucleotides) under uncultured bacterium. RNAcentral's name for it is "bacterial SSU rRNA". It matches the Rfam family "Bacterial small subunit ribosomal RNA", at positions 358 to 773 of the family's 1533-position model. The record is from RNAcentral.
GGAAUAUUGGACAAUGGGCGAAAGCCUGAUCCAGCCAUGCCGCGUGUGUGAAGAAGGUCUUCGGAUUGUAAAGCACUGUAAGUUGGGAGGAAGGGCAUUAACCUAAUACGUUAGUGUUUUGAUGCUACCGACAGAAUAAGCACCGGCGAACUCUGUGCCAGCAGCCGCGGUAAUACAGAGGGUCCAAGCGUUAAUCGGAAUUACUGGGCGUAAAGCGGUCGUAGGUGGUUCGUUAAGUUGGAUGUGAAAUCCCCGGGCUCAACCUGGGAACUGCAUUCAAAACUGUCGAGCUAGAGUAUGGUAGAGGGUGGUGGAAUUUCCUGUGUAGCGGUGAAAUGCGUAGAUAUAGGAAGGAACACCAGUGGCGAAGGCGACCACCUGGACUGAUACUGACACUGAGGUGCGAAAGCGUGGGGAGCAAAC